UGGGGAAUAUUGCACAAUGGGCGAAAGCCUGAUGCAGCAACGCCGCGUGAGCGAUGAAGGCCUUCGGGUCGUAAAGUUCUGUCCUCAAGGAAGAUAAUGACGGUACUUGAGGAGGAAGCCCCGGCUAACUACGUGCCAGCAGCCGCGGUAAUACGUAGGGGGCUAGCGUUAUCCGGAAUUACUGGGCGUAAAGGGUGCGUAGGUGGUUUCUUAAGUCAGAGGUGAAAGGCUACGGCUCAACCGUAGUAAGCCUUUGAAACUGAGAAACUUGAGUGCAGGAGAGGAGAGUAGAAUUCCUAGUGUAGCGGUGAAAUGCGUAGAUAUUAGGAGGAAUACCAGUUGCGAAGGCGGCUUGCUGGACGACAACUGACGUUGAGGCUCGAAAGCGUGGGGAGCAAACAGG
RNAcentral lists this ribosomal RNA (403 nucleotides) under uncultured prokaryote. RNAcentral describes it as "bacterial SSU rRNA". It matches the Rfam family "Bacterial small subunit ribosomal RNA", at positions 355 to 776 of the family's 1533-position model. RNAcentral also lists the same sequence under 1 other name. The record is from RNAcentral.